Vigna angularis (adzuki bean) is the source of this 97-nucleotide small nucleolar RNA. NCBI's taxonomy places the organism in Eukaryota, Viridiplantae, Streptophyta, Magnoliopsida, Fabales, Fabaceae. The record is from Rfam.
UGGAAGGCAAUGAUGGUAAGAACUACCUAUUUUAUGAGAGAAUUGAGAAUUUUCCCUUGUGAUUAUAAAUCUACCAAUGGAUCCUUCUGAGCCUUCA